This 76-nucleotide transfer RNA is filed under the name Nocardioides sp. RNAcentral describes it as "tRNA-Glu". It matches the Rfam family "tRNA". Rfam says of the family: Transfer RNA (tRNA) molecules are approximately 80 nucleotides in length. Their secondary structure includes four short double-helical elements and three loops (D, anti-codon, and T loops). Further hydrogen bonds mediate the characteristic L-shaped molecular structure. tRNAs have two regions of fundamental functional importance: the anti-codon, which is responsible for specific mRNA codon recognition, and the 3' end, to which the tRNAs corresponding amino acid is attached (by aminoacyl-tRNA synthetases). tRNAs cope with the degeneracy of the genetic code in two manners: having more than one tRNA (with a specific anti-codon) for a particular amino acid; and 'wobble' base-pairing, i.e. permitting non-standard base-pairing at the 3rd anti-codon position. The record is from RNAcentral. RNAcentral also lists the same sequence under 9 other names. Lineage: Bacteria; Bacillati; Actinomycetota; Actinomycetes; Propionibacteriales; Nocardioidaceae.
GCCCCCAUCGUCUAGCGGCCCAGGACCCCGCCCUUUCACGGCGGUAGCGCCGGUUCGAAUCCGGUUGGGGGUGCCA